Long non-coding RNA from Columba livia (rock pigeon), 3405 nucleotides. RefSeq lists it as uncharacterized. NCBI's taxonomy places the organism in Eukaryota, Metazoa, Chordata, Aves, Columbiformes, Columbidae. The record is from RefSeq and is a predicted model, not a curated record. The transcript is spliced from 3 exons.
GCUGGUGCCAGAUGCACUGUCUGAGCGAUGUUUCAGCUAUAAAUACAUACUUGCAUCGGCUGAGCCAUGAUCAAAAGAUGUGGCAAGACAUACCAAAGGCAGACCAGAAGGCACAGCAGUUUGCCUUGCCAAUGGUACAGUAAAGAUGCACGAGCACAUCAAUGACCUGGACAGAUAACGUCUCAAGAUACAGCCCAGCUUCCUGGAACUAUGCAAAGAGUCGGAUCAGAAAAUCAUCCUGCUACCAUUGUACUAAGAAGGUGAAUGUUUUCUCUCCAUCAAGUAGAGUAUAAUGGAUUAUACUGUCUGCACUUAGACAUUUUUAUAGAUGUGAAUUUGAAAGCACACAAAUGCACUUUUUGUUCCUGCUAGUCAGGAGUGAUCCACAAGGUUCCAAAGUUUGCUGUGUGUAGUCAGAACCUUUUUAAAACAGAAUGUGUUAGUCACCAGGGACUGAGCUCUAUGCACAACAGUACAUAGCAAAAGAUAUUUUGGGAAUACAUAUCAACUAAAUAUGACAAUGCGAGGACAAAUAUUUUUCCACACUAUAUCAAAUUUGAAACUGAAUAAGUAAACAUGUUAUCUCAUGGAAACAAACUUCAGUUGAAUGUUUUAUACUUCACUGUCCUUGCUAACAAAAGGUAAAGCAAUAAUAGGCAGAAAAAUAAAAAUAAUUAAAUCAUUUGUAAUAUUCAGUAAAAGUCAUUUCAAUUCCGGUCAGUGGUUCACAUUAACCCUUACUCAAUCUGAAAGUUUUGGCCAUUUCUGUUUUUUCUUCUCUGGUUUCCACAUAUUUAUUUUGAGAAAAAAAAAAGUUAUCUUCAUAUACAGUUUUGACCUAUGCCUUUCAUUCCAGCUUUACUCUUUUCUCAUCAAGUCCCAACUGUCCUAUUACUUUUCCAUGUUGAUUUUGCCAUCCAGCAGCAGGUGAAAAAAACAGUUUACACUGGUGAUUACCAUUUGAAAAGUAACAUUCAUGCUGGAAAAGAAAAACAUCAGCUUUUGCUAAAAUCCACAAUACUGACUUCCAAAGAAACUGCAGACACCAAGACCAACACAAAUAGGAAUUUCACAGUAAAGGCAUAUAACACAUAUACCCUCACAGGGUCUUCAGGUCCAGUAGGAUGUCUUUGACCACGGAGUUGCAAUGGUUUCAAACCCUCGGCUUCUGUAAUGUCUCUUCUAGCUGGCAAUGCAACACACCAACACUGGAUCACAAGUCAAACUUGGAGACCAGGACUGGAAAGAAGGUACAGUGCAUAAGAUGCUCAUCUCCCUUUCAGGGGCAUGUAAAAGGGGAGGUGACUCUGUGCCCACCCCACUCAGCGUAGGAGCCACAGUGGAGCUGCACAGCAGGAUUAGAGUCUGGUCCUACUACUAGGAGGGUCUGCAGAAGGCUGAGUAGCUUGAGCAUCUUCUAUGACGUCUUUGAUUACUACAACCAGAGUUCACAGAUCUCACAGGGGUUUCCUACUCCUAGUGUCUGCUCUCUUGUGUAGGUCAAGUAUGUUCAAGACCGUCCUGUCACACUGGAUUUUGGAAACUGCUCUUGGCAUCGACCUCAGGGUCAGCGCAGUGAUGCUUUUCAUUCCAGUUCCCUAGCUGGCUGCAUCUGGCUCCAGCACUCACUCCAACACGGGGACCACAUGCCCUGACCCCCCGCUUUUUCCAAAUGUGUUUUUUGAAAAAUCACAUCUAUGAUGCUACAGGCACAUCUAGACAGGUUAGCAUGGGACUUACAGUCAGGAUAAGCCUUUCUACGCAAUCAGAUCUUGGUGCAGUUAAGAAGCUACUCAACUACAGUAAGUGACAGUAUCAGAGCUUAAAAUCCACUUUGGGGCUAGAAUGCAAUAAAUUAUGCUAUUCUGUUCUGGAUUGUGUUGAAAUGGGCUACAAAUGUCUAUUUACACUGUGCAAGCUGCAGGAUGGUGACAGAUGAGGGAGGUGCAGCAACUACACAGUUUGUAUGUCUCUCCCUCCAGCUAUAAUGUAAGAAGCCACUCUCGCCCCAAACUUAUCUCAGCACAGGUACUUUCAAGACCCAUCUACAACUACAACAGGUGACUCACAGUAUUGGAAAUUAUCUUGAAACCAUUCUUGUACCCUUUGAAUUGUACCCUUUGUGAAAUAAGGCACCUUCUACUCAAAGAUGUUUCCCCAUAUGCACUGUAAGUCCAUCACCUUGCUCACAGCUUUCUGUAGUGCAUUCCCAGCACAAGAAGAAUCCAUAUUUUCUUGCACAGGGUAAAAGCAAUUGAGCAUUUAUAGCCUGCAAAUGAGAUUCAAAUGCUGGACCUUUCUCAGCCACUAUUAAUCACUGCUGAUUCUCACUGCCAGUUAGCUAAAUCUUGGAUUUUUCUCGUGUGAUAAAAAUCAAAAUGAAUAUGUCCUGCUCCUAAAUUGUAACACGUUCCCAGCAGCAGUGUGACAGAACUCAGCUGAUAUCCCACGUGAACGUGAAAAACAUUAGUCAUCUUUCAAGUGCUAGCACUUAAAAACUAAUUAGAGUCCCUGAGCAGAAAAACAUUUUAUAUAGCUUUUUAAUCAAUGGGACUACAAGAGAAAAAAUAACGAAGUGAUAGCAGCAGGCUGCAGUUUUCAUGUUUAGAGAAGGGAGAUAUUUACAGAGUCAACACUCAAACUCCUGUUUUCUCAAUACUAUUAUCAGGGCCAUGUCACUCCUUAGCAGCACCACGACAGAUGAUGGUUGUUCUUGACUUGCUGGAAGCCAAAAAGACCAAAGCUCUUCCCAAGGAGCUCUCAGCUCUAUAGAGCUUUCUAAACUGAAAUAUUUCCAUGUCCCCCACAGGCUCCUUGCACACUUGCUGUGUUAUUUACCCAUCUCUAUUUAAAUAAUAAAUCUCUCAGGGUAGGAGCUGUCUCUCAUGGCAUGCUAGCACAGAACUUUGCUUUUGAUCUCAUUUGAAGCUUUCAUCUGCUACUGUAAGACAACUGAUAACAGCUACCUACAAUAUAGAUGCUUUGUGGUCUCAUGAAUGAUGACCUGACUAGAAGAUUACUGUUUCAGAUGUCUCAGUUUGUUUCUUGUUUAGUUAUGGAUUGAAAAUACUUGUGCUCAAAGAGAAGCAAUCAAGAACGACUAGUUUUUCUUUGGAGGAACAGAUGACUAAAAUUUAUUUCAACUCAAGUUUUUAUUGUUGGCUAUAGUUCACAGAACCUUACACAGAGGCACAGUUUUUUGGUUUAUUCAAGUAACAGAUAAUUAAACAUAGUACCAGGCAAACCUGGGGAACUGGGAAUAUUUACAGAGAAUUGCUCCAAAAUACUUCUGCUGAAAGUCAGGCAGAAAACAUCUUUCACUUUUUUGUUUCUGACCCAUUGACUCAAUCAAUACACUGAGCAAUUUAAAAAGUAACUGAUGCCAGCAUUUGUGGGUACAUACAG